Molecule: transfer RNA, 56 nt
Filed under: Strongyloides cebus
Lineage: Eukaryota; Metazoa; Nematoda; Chromadorea; Rhabditida; Strongyloididae
Description: tRNA-Ala
Source: RNAcentral
AGGGGGUUAUUUUAAUUUUGAAUAUUUGUUUUGCAAACAAAAGGUUUUUCUCUCUA